UCUAAAGAUCGUUUAUUUGUUUUUAACGGUUUCGUGGAUCUCUGAGUUUUGUUAAGGCAGCUGUUUGCAUAAUUUAUAGAGAAGGGCUUGGCAACCUGUUUUUGUGGAAAAACUGAUAAGAAGGGCGAAAAAGUCAAGAAAUGCCUAGGUAGCAUUAAUAUAUAGUUUGUGGGUUCUCUUCGCUCUUUCUUUCGCAGGUGCGUGAGUGGAGCGGAGUGGCUCUCUAAUUGGUUGUGAGUGAAUCAGACGAUGUGAUCGCGUGAUUUUCUAGACGCCCAGUGCAGCUCAAACUGUUAGCUGUUACUGGAAAUUUAGCAAUAUUAUGUUUAAGACGCUGUCACGCUGACACAGAAACCGAAAAAAAAAGAAACAGUCGAAAACAUAGCAAAAUGCUUAACGCAAAGACGCG
Molecule: non-coding RNA, 409 nt
Organism: Drosophila suzukii
Lineage: Eukaryota; Metazoa; Arthropoda; Insecta; Diptera; Drosophilidae
Source: RefSeq, a predicted model, not a curated record